GUGUCAGCAGCAGCGGUAAUACAGAGGGUGCGAGCGUUACUCGGAAUUACUGGGCGUAAAGCGUGCGUAGACGGUUACGUAAGUCGGAUGUGAAAGCCCCGGGCUCAACCUGGGAAUUGCAUUCGAGACUGCGUAGCUAGGAUGCGGAAGAGGGAAGCGGAAUUUCCGGUGUAGCGGUGAAAUGCGUAGAUAUCGGAAGGAACACCAGUGGCGAAAGCGGCUUCCUGGUCCAGCAUCGACGUUCAGGCACGAAAGCGUGGGGAGCAAACAGGAUUAGAUACCCUAGUAGUCC
RNAcentral lists this ribosomal RNA (292 nucleotides) under uncultured bacterium. RNAcentral describes it as "partial 16S ribosomal RNA". It matches the Rfam family "Bacterial small subunit ribosomal RNA", at positions 505 to 796 of the family's 1533-position model. The record is from RNAcentral.